AUUGAACGCUGGCGGCAUGCCUUACACAUGCAAGUCGAACGGCAGCGGGGACUUCGGUCCGCCGGCGAGUGGCGAACGGGUGGGUAAUGUAUCGGAACGUACCAUUGAGUGGGGGAUAACGUAGCGAAAGUUACGCUAAUACCGCAUAUUCUCUCCGGAGGAAAGCAGGGGACCGCAAGGCCUUGCGCUCUUUGAGCGGCCGAUAUCAGAUUAGCUAGUUGGUGAGGUAAUGGCUCACCAAGGCGACGAUCUGUAGCGGGUCUGAGAGGAUGAUCCGCCACACUGGAACUGGGACACGGUCCAGACUCCUACGGGAGGCAGCAGUGGGGAAUUUUGGACAAUGGGGGCAACCCUGAUCCAGCCAUGCCGCGUGAGUGAAGAAGGCCUUCGGGUUGUAAAGCUCUUUCGGCCGGGAAAAAAUCGCAUGGGCUAAUACCCUGUGUGGAUGAUGGUACCGGAAUAAGAAGCACCGGCUAACUACGUGCCAGCCGCCGCCGUAA
This 500-nucleotide ribosomal RNA is filed under the name uncultured bacterium. Its description in RNAcentral is "partial 16S ribosomal RNA". It matches the Rfam family "Bacterial small subunit ribosomal RNA", at positions 30 to 523 of the family's 1533-position model. The record is from RNAcentral.